RNAcentral lists this long non-coding RNA (1932 nucleotides) under Capsicum annuum. RNAcentral's name for it is "long non-coding RNA (CANN_LNC002820)". The record is from RNAcentral. Lineage: Eukaryota; Viridiplantae; Streptophyta; Magnoliopsida; Solanales; Solanaceae.
AGGGGAUUUAUAAGGGCUAAUCAAAUUAAUAAUUUAAUACAAAUGCAUAAUCAAAUAGGAUUUACAAGGAAAUGAAUAAGAAGAAUUAAAAUUUGGGCCUCUUCCAAAUCUGCCAUCUUUUGGGCCCAGUCUUUAUGGUCUUUUGGUCCAUUUCUGCAGUUGUAUACCAGCUGUACACUGACUGUAUAUCAGCCUCGUUUUACCGCAUUUUUCAUACAUAUGACGUAUAUCAAUGUAUAGGAACCAGUAUACAUGUUUCCAGCUUUUCCAUGCAUCGUAUAUUGGCUUAAACCAGCAACCUUUACCUGCAAAUCCUGUAUAUCUGGUAUAUACCAGUGUAUACCAGCUUAGUUUCUUCAUGCUAGUCCCUUUGAGGACUUUUGGGAUUCAUAUCACAUGCAUCAAUUAAAAUAUAAGAAUUAGUGUAAUGUAAGAAUCAAGACUUAUGCUACUGUAAACAUGAAGUAGACAUGGUUAAGAGGACAUACGUAAAUGCUUUUGAAGUGAUUUAACAUUGAGAAUUGAUAUGGUGAAAAAGGACUAAAUUGAAACUUUGAGUUCAAUUAUUUUACCAGUGAGCUUCAACAUAUUAGCCUUUAUCACCCAAAAAGAACACAAAGCCAAUCUAGUGACUAUUUUUCAAUCAAACUUAAAGGUGCACAUGAACACAGAGAUGCAAGAAUUGGAAUAGAAAUUCGGUGCUAUCAGAAGGUUCACAUUUUUUAGAAAAUGACAAAAAAAUCACAACUUCAUUAUUUUAACUCAAAGGUGGAUCCCUAUUGCCUUUUCACUAUGAAGCAUGGUAAUGACAGAAAAAAGACAAUCCCAAAACUAAUAGAAAAAAACUAAACUUAAUGUCUGGAAAAAUAUUUCCUAUUAACUCAUGUAAACACGGUCUAUUUUGCAUUCAAAAUCUCUUGAGAAAUUCAUAAACAUGACAUAAUUGGCAUUCCAACGGUCAAUAGAAGAGCGAUAAGAACGGGGACUUUAAUGUCCUUCCCACACCACAUUCAAAAUCCAAACAACAUGUACCUCUUGUCGAUGCAUCAUACAGUGCUAUGUUGAUCAAACAGUUAGCACAACUAUUAGAUCUUACAGUUUUUUUCUUUUUACCAGCACGAUGUAUAAAAAAAACUCUCGACAAUCGAAACAGAUAAGGCUCAAAUUAAGAUCAGUCCCGAAUCGCCAAUAAGACAUCACAUUCUUAUAGAAUAAAUACGGAGGUAAGAUCUUUGGUGGUUCCAUCACCCAAACCAAUCUCUCAAUAACACCAAGUAUCAAAAUGCCAACAUUCCAUAUUGUAUCUUUCAAACAACAUAAAAAAAAGUAGAAGUUUUCACCUUCUUUGGAGCAGGAACCGGGAUCAAUAGCCUUGACAACGGAUUUCUACCGUCAGAGUUCUAACUGAAUUUCACCGAAAUUCAACAAUUUUACCGGAAUCUAAAAUAACUUCGUCGGAAUUUUUUUAAUUCUCUUUUCUUUUCAGUCGGAAUUGAUUUUUUCAAAUGUGUUUCUUCUCAGAUUCUCCGGUUACGUGGGAUUAGAGGAAUGCUCCUCCCGAAUCUCCAAUUUCCUCACAAAGAAUCCCCUUUUUUCCCCUCUACAAUUUUAGGGGGAGAUCGAAAGGGUAAAAAAGAAAAAAACUAGUCUGAAGUUUGAAUUUCAAAAAUUGGGACAAGCUUGAACGUUAUUGCUAAGUUGUUGUUGCAGCUGUGCGUUGUACCGCUGCUGUUAUGUGCAGCUAUUGCUGUUGUCGCGGAUAUUGUUGUUGUUAUAUGCAGGUGCUGUUACAGUGUUGUAUGAUGUUGGUGUUGUGGUUUGUCGUUGUUGUUUCAACGUUGUUUGGUGCGUCGUUAUAGCGUUGACGUCGCUGUCAUUUUGUUGAACGAAGUUGGGUAUUGUUGUUGUUAUUUGUCGGUUGUUGAUGAAGAG